RNAcentral lists this transfer RNA (72 nucleotides) under Fukomys damarensis (Damara mole-rat). It matches the Rfam family "tRNA". Rfam says of the family: Transfer RNA (tRNA) molecules are approximately 80 nucleotides in length. Their secondary structure includes four short double-helical elements and three loops (D, anti-codon, and T loops). Further hydrogen bonds mediate the characteristic L-shaped molecular structure. tRNAs have two regions of fundamental functional importance: the anti-codon, which is responsible for specific mRNA codon recognition, and the 3' end, to which the tRNAs corresponding amino acid is attached (by aminoacyl-tRNA synthetases). tRNAs cope with the degeneracy of the genetic code in two manners: having more than one tRNA (with a specific anti-codon) for a particular amino acid; and 'wobble' base-pairing, i.e. permitting non-standard base-pairing at the 3rd anti-codon position. The record is from Rfam by way of RNAcentral. Lineage: Eukaryota; Metazoa; Chordata; Mammalia; Rodentia; Bathyergidae.
GGGGAUGUAGCUCAGUGGUACAAUAUGUGGUUAGUGAGUACAAGACCCUGGGUUCAACCCCCAGCAACAUCU